Molecule: ribosomal RNA, 403 nt
Filed under: bacterium
Lineage: Bacteria
Also listed under: 1 other name
Description: partial 16S ribosomal RNA
Rfam family: Bacterial small subunit ribosomal RNA
Source: RNAcentral
UGGGGAAUAUUGCACAAUGGGGGAAACCCUGAUGCAGCGGCGCCGCGUGAACGAAGAAGGUAUUCGUAUCGUAAAGUUCUGUCCUAUGGGAAGAUAAUGACAGUACCAUAGAAGAAAGCUCCGGCUAAAUACGUGCCAGCAGCCGCGGUAAUACGUAUGGAGCGAGCGUUGUCCGGAAUUAUUGGGCGUAAAGGGUACGCAGGCGGUUUAAUAAGUCGAAUGUUAAAGAUCGGGGCUCAACCCCGUAAAGCAUUGGAAACUGAUAAACUUGAGUAGUGGAGAGGAAAGUGGAAUUCCUAGUGUAGUGGUGAAAUACGUAGAUAUUAGGAGGAAUACCAGUAGCGAAGGCGACUUUCUGGACACAAACUGACGCUGAGGUACGAAAGCGUGGGGAGCAAACAGG